AAUACAGAGUUCAGUCACGACGAGGUGCUGCAGCAUUGCGAGGACAACCGAAGCUUGGAUGAGAGAAGGAAAUGUAUCAAGUACUGUCAUGUUUCCAAUUUCUUUACUGCUCAACCUUUCAUUUGAGGUAUGAUCAGUCGGCCCUGAAGGUUCAGGCUGAGGAGAACCAUCGCUGUCUCGGCUGGGUCCCGAAGAUUCAGGCUGAUGCGCACUAUUGCUGCCCCCAAUAUUUGCAGGUCCUGGCAGAUCGUCAAAAUGCUCUCCACCUCUGCUCUCAUAAUUGGACCUUCCAUUAUCACCGUCAUCUCCUGGAAUUCUUAGAACCUUGUCUGGCUGUGCCUCAACACCAACCCAUCUUAGAUGAAGCUGCCAGAUCAGUUGUUAAGUACAAAAGAAAAAUCCAGAACUUUUGCUUCGAGGCUCUAACGGAUCUGUAGGUUUUGAGUACCUGAAGGUACAGGUUGACCUCAUCUGGACGAGAAAGAAAGGGGAAAUCGCCACCUGUUUUCAGGAUGGCACGUCUGGCUCCAGGAAAUCUUUCACUCACUUGAUCUUUCAGCUGUUGCGGAACAGCACAGUAGUCAUUCGUCUGCAAGACAUGGCAGCAGUAGUUAACAUGGUACCCCACCAACUUACUAGAUCCUCAUAACUUAAUAAAUGUGUGACCGUUUCAGUCAAAAUGGAUGCUUCUAAAUUAUACUGCCUGUAUGCUAGAAUAACAGUGGCUAACAUGAGGGAUAAUUCCUA
This 747-nucleotide long non-coding RNA is filed under the name Musa acuminata (dwarf banana). RNAcentral describes it as "long non-coding RNA (MACU_LNC006336)". Lineage: Eukaryota; Viridiplantae; Streptophyta; Magnoliopsida; Zingiberales; Musaceae. The record is from RNAcentral.